CAGCAGCCACGGGAAUACGUAGGUGGCAAGCGUUGUCCGGAAUUAUUGGGCGUAAAGCGCGCGCAGGUGGUUUAAUAAGUCUGAUGUGAAAGCCCACGGCUCAACCGUGGAGGGUCAUUGGAAACUGUUAAACUUGAGUGCAGGAGAGAAAAGUGGAAUUCCUAGUGUAGUGGUGAAAUGCGUAGAGAUUAGGGGGAACACCAGUGGCGAAGGCGGCUUUUUGGCCUGUAACUGACACUGAGGCGCGAAAGCGUGGGGAGCAAACAGGAUUAGAUACCCCCGUAGUCCCUGUCUCUUAUAC
This 301-nucleotide ribosomal RNA is filed under the name uncultured bacterium. RNAcentral describes it as "partial 16S ribosomal RNA". It matches the Rfam family "Bacterial small subunit ribosomal RNA", at positions 509 to 807 of the family's 1533-position model. The record is from RNAcentral.